Molecule: ribosomal RNA, 758 nt
Filed under: Acinetobacter rhizosphaerae
Lineage: Bacteria; Pseudomonadati; Pseudomonadota; Gammaproteobacteria; Moraxellales; Moraxellaceae
Description: bacterial SSU rRNA
Rfam family: Bacterial small subunit ribosomal RNA
Source: RNAcentral
GUGAGUAAUGCUUAGGAAUCUGCCUAUUAGUGGGGGACAACAUCUCGAAAGGGAUGCUAAUACCGCAUACGUCCUACGGGAGAAAGCAGGGGAUCUUCGGACCUUGCGCUAAUAGAUGAGCCUAAGUCGGAUUAGCUAGUUGGUGGGGUAAAGGCCUACCAAGGCGACGAUCUGUAGCGGGUCUGAGAGGAUGAUCCGCCACACUGGGACUGAGACACGGCCCAGACUCCUACGGGAGGCAGCAGUGGGGAAUAUUGGACAAUGGGCGCAAGCCUGAUCCAGCCAUGCCGCGUGUGUGAAGAAGGCCUUAUGGUUGUAAAGCACUUUAAGCGAGGAGGAGGCUACUUUAGAUAAUACCUAGAGAUAGUGGACGUUACUCGCAGAAUAAGCACCGGCUAACUCUGUGCCAGCAGCCGCGGUAAUACAGAGGGUGCAAGCGUUAAUCGGAUUUACUGGGCGUAAAGCGCGCGUAGGCGGCUAAUUAAGUCAAAUGUGAAAUCCCCGAGCUUAACUUGGGAAUUGCAUUCGAUACUGGUUAGCUAGAGUGUGGGAGAGGAUGGUAGAAUUCCAGGUGUAGCGGUGAAAUGCGUAGAGAUCUGGAGGAAUACCGAUGGCGAAGGCAGCCAUCUGGCCUAACACUGACGCUGAGGUGCGAAAGCAUGGGGAGCAAACAGGAUUAGAUACCCUGGUAGUCCAUGCCGUAAACGAUGUCUACUAGCCGUUGGGGCCUUUGAGGCUUUAGUGGCGCAGCUAACGCG